GAGCAUUUCCCGUUGCUAAGAUAUGAAAGCAGAAAAUCAGAGGAAAAGGUCUCUCUCUCCCCUUCUCUCACUCAUUAAUACACACACACAAACACAGACAUGAAAACUUUUUUCUCAAUACAAAUUAUUUUUGCAUUCUUAAGAUAAACUUCAUACUCUGUAGUAAGAUUCAAUCUGUUUAGGCUGUAAGGAAGAUUUUGGCUGGAUCGAGGAUUGCAGCCAAAAUAUCUGGAUGAAGAGGAAAAGGUGUACUGAGUUAGGUACAUCUCCACCUAAUAAUUAGCCUAAAGAGAAAUCAAUUCACAUUGGAAUCGUAGUCUAUAUGUAUCAAAAUGAAUUUGUUCAUAAACUUACAACGUUGUCAAAUAGGGCAGCAAGGAUAGAGAUUCUGUGAUAUUUCCUGUAAGAUCAUUGUGACUCAGAUCCCUGUAAAAAUUGUACAAACAAAUCAAAGGGUUAUUUGGUGAACUAAAGUGAAAUGCCAAAUAUUUUAUUGGUUUAGUAAGAUUCAAGUUAGCUGAGGUUCCUGGAAAGCGUCUUUUAUGAUACCGUGCUUAUGCUCUGUUGUCUUAACAUCCAACUCAAUUCAGCUUAACAAAUCUUUAUCCCAUACUUGUGGGGGGUUGGCUGCAAGAAUCCUCCUUUUCCCCUUUGCUCUAACAAGGGCCAUCUCCAAAGUUAAAUCACAAAGGUUCGUAUGCUUCUUAAUUAACUCAUUCCAUGUGCUUUUAGGUCAAUACGUUCCCUAGUAUAUGAUCAUGGAUGGUACGUGAGUGGCCGAAAGCUCAAGUAUUCUUGAUGUGCAUGUGCUCUGACGAGCGAGCAUCAUAUUUCUCAAGUAUCAUGUGAACAAUUGUAUUUUAACUAUGUUUUAUUGCCUUGUAUCUAAUAAUCACCGAGACAGUGGUUUAAUGCUAUAUAGAAUUG
This 927-nucleotide long non-coding RNA is filed under the name Olea europaea (common olive). RNAcentral describes it as "long non-coding RNA (OEUR_LNC010991)". Lineage: Eukaryota; Viridiplantae; Streptophyta; Magnoliopsida; Lamiales; Oleaceae. The record is from RNAcentral.